UUAUAUUGUAAUAAAAAGUUUGGAAAAGUAUCCUUUUUUAUUUAUACAUCAUAUUCGUUCUGUCGGAGGUAAGCAUGAAUUUAUUCAGUAUCCACAUCACCAUCAAGUUGUUAUUUUCAACCAAACAUGCCAUCCCUAAAGCCAGUGCUCAGAGCUAGAGUGGGUAAUGAGGCUUUUCUUACAGAAAAUCAUCGCAGCAACAUUACCUGGUGUUUGGUGAUUUUACUUAUAUGUGUCCUGUACCAGUGUUCACACUUGUGAUUCUGAGGUCAGUGUUGUCUACCUGAGUGGUAUGGUUAUCUGAAUUCCAUAGGAACUUUGCACCAGUUAGAACUUAGUGGAUUCUUUGCUGCUUUUUUUGGCGCUGGAAGGGUGGACAUACCGUGUGGAUGUUAGUAAUCAGUACCAGAAAUUACCAUAGGACUUUUAUCCUGACUGCCCACCAUAUCAAUGGAGUGCUUUUUGUCUGGGUUAAUAGUACUGGUUUUGAUACAUAAUCACUUGUUAUAUUUGUUUAAAAUUUUCCACUUUCUUAGUAAUAGUCAGCUUCAGUCGGUGCUUAGGAAUAAACAUGUUGAAGUUUUUGCAGUAUGUAGGGCAGAGGUCAGUGAAUGUAUUUGCUUGGCUUCGAAUGUAAGAUUGAAUCAAUUUUAUAGUGAAUCAAAUUGGAAGAGAUUGGUAAAAGGCGUUUUAGUAAUAUUGGAACUUUCGGGGGAGCCCAGGACUAUGAGAAGAAUUUCUUCACAUUUUCAGUAUCUGUAAGGUACCAAAGGACUGCGACGAAUUGAUCCUUUAACGGAGAUGCUUUGAAACCAGAUCCAUAACUGAGUCUAUCAAGAUACAGCAGCUAAAGUCGGGGAAUAACCUCAGGCAAAAACUGCACAUCUUUAAGAUUUCUGGCAUUCUUUUAAGUAUUUGGUCAUCAUAGCUGCCCCGUACAGUAGUCUCUGACCUCUGAAUCACUCAUCACCCUUGGGCCCCUGUUGCCUUACUUAAAAUAUUGUACCUUGUUCAGCCUACCUCACAGGGCUGUUGUGAGGAGUGUAGUGAAAUGGACUCCUAUGUGAACUGGGUGGUUUUCACUAAGAAUGGCUGUGUUUGAAUACUUAUAAAUGCUGUGUAGUUUGAAAAAGCAUGUUCUUAAGUUGGUAUAACUGGUGAUUUUAUUUUUUUAAAGUAAGACCUUCAAAAUGUCCUUUAGAAUCAGUUUACUUUGCGCAUGACUGUUUCUAUAUUCCUCAUCAACUGCACUUUUACGAGUUGUAAGGUCUACUGCAGUGUUCAUGUGUAGAGGGGAAACCUAGAGUAAGCGAAUGGCUUCAGCUCCUUUUCCACCAGGAGUUUGCACUUGCAAACUGGUACCCCAUGCAGAGUGAAUUUGGCUGAAAUAACUUUUCCAACAACCAAGUAGUUCAACAAUUUAUUGCCUUUGACAAAUAUUCAUCAACUUUAUUGAAUUGUACCUUUUAUUAAAAAAGAAACAUUUCGAAACCUUGUUCUGCAUCAGCCUGUAUCAGUUAUCAUCUGUCUGCACAUAGUGGUGUUGCUCCAGAUGGAUGUAUUAAAUGGUUUGCAAGUUAUCCUACUCCGCAGGACUUUGGUAUGUUUGUUAUCUGGACAUGACUUUGCUACACAGUUGUGAUAAUAAAAAUUACAGCUCCUCAGGUCUAACCUCUAAGUUGUGUAUGAAAACUAUUAAUAAGCGACACGUGGUAUAUUCAGUGCUGCAAGAGUUUGAAAUGAGCACACUGCCUCAUUUCCUUACAAACAAGACAAAGCCUUCUAAAUGAUUUUUUUAACUUUAAAAAUGGUUAUUCAAAGUGUAGUGACUUGUAUGUUGAAAUGAUUGUAUGUUCUGUAUAAAAUGUCCCACUGAGGUUUUUACAAAAGCACCUGUAUUAUCCCUUCUAAAAAUUAAACCCUUUUUUUGCUUUC
RNAcentral lists this long non-coding RNA (1935 nucleotides) under Rattus norvegicus (Norway rat). Its description in RNAcentral is "long non-coding RNA NONRATT022279". The record is from RNAcentral. Lineage: Eukaryota; Metazoa; Chordata; Mammalia; Rodentia; Muridae.